RNAcentral lists this ribosomal RNA (425 nucleotides) under uncultured bacterium. RNAcentral describes it as "partial 16S ribosomal RNA". It matches the Rfam family "Bacterial small subunit ribosomal RNA", at positions 354 to 796 of the family's 1533-position model. The record is from RNAcentral.
GUGGGGAAUAUUGGACAAUGGGCGAAAGCCUGAUCCAGCAAUGCCGCGUGAGUGAUGAAGGCCUUAGGGUUGUAAAGCUCUUUUACCAGGGAUGAUAAUGACAGUACCUGGAGAAUAAGCUCCGGCUAACUCCGUGCCAGCAGCCGCGGUAAUACGGAGGGAGCUAGCGUUGUUCGGAAUUACUGGGCGUAAAGCGCACGUAGGCGGCUACUCAAGUCAGAGGUGAAAGCCCGGGGCUCAACCCCGGAACUGCCUUUGAAACUAGGUAGCUAGAAUCUUGGAGAGGUCAGUGGAAUUCCGAGUGUAGAGGUGAAAUUCGUAGAUAUUCGGAAGAACACCAGUGGCGAAGGCGACUGACUGGACAAGUAUUGACGCUGAGGUGCGAAAGCGUGGGGAGCAAACAGGAUUAGAUACCCCGGUAGUCC